This 421-nucleotide ribosomal RNA is filed under the name Amazophrynella aff. manaos ABGD cluster 4. Its description in RNAcentral is "partial large subunit ribosomal RNA". It matches the Rfam family "Bacterial large subunit ribosomal RNA", at positions 1835 to 2457 of the family's 2925-position model. The record is from RNAcentral. Lineage: Eukaryota; Metazoa; Chordata; Amphibia; Anura; Bufonidae.
CUUGAACCCUAUAAGAGGUCCAGCCUGCCCAGUGAAACAAUUCAACGGCCGCGGUAUCCUAACCGUGCGAAGGUAGCGUAAUCACUUGUUCUCUAAAUCAGGACUAGUAUGAACGGCAUCACGAGGGUUAUACUGUCUCCUUUUUCCAAUUAGUGAAUUUAAUUUUCCCGUGAAGAAGCGGGAAUAAACCUAUAAGACGAGAAGACCCUAUGGAGCUUUAAACAAUCUAGCAUCUGCCUAUAUUCUUCAUGUUUCAGAACUCUCUAGACCUUCUACAUAAUGACUAGAAGUUUUAGGUUGGGGUGACCGCGGAGUAAAACCCAUCCUCCAUAAUGAAAGAAUUUUAAUUCUUAACCAAGAAAUACCUAUCUAAGUAUUAACACACUGACAUUUAUUGACCCAAUACAAUUGAUCAACGAAC